RNAcentral lists this ribosomal RNA (797 nucleotides) under uncultured Gammaproteobacteria bacterium. RNAcentral's name for it is "bacterial SSU rRNA". It matches the Rfam family "Bacterial small subunit ribosomal RNA", at positions 107 to 900 of the family's 1533-position model. Lineage: Bacteria; Pseudomonadati; Pseudomonadota; Gammaproteobacteria. The record is from RNAcentral.
UGAGUAACGCUUCGGAAUCUGCCCAAUGGUGGGGAAUAACCAGCCGAAAGGUUGGCUAAUACCGCAUGAGCCCUACGGGGGAAAGCGGGGGAUCGCAAGACCUCGCGCCGAUGGAUGAGCCGAAGCCGGAUUAGCUAGUUGGUAGGGUAACGGCCUACCAAGGCGACGAUCCGUAGCUGGUCUGAGAGGACGACCAGCCACACUGGGACUGAGACACGGCCCAGACUCCUACGGGAGGCAGCAGUGGGGAAUAUUGGACAAUGGGGGAAACCCUGAUCCAGCGACGCCGCGUGUGUGAAGAAGGCCUGCGGGUUGUAAAGCACUUUUAGUGGGGAUGAAAAGCUCAGGGCUAACACCUCUGGGUCUUGACCUAACCCACAGAAAAAGCACCGGCUAACUCUGUGCCAGCAGCCGCGGUAAUACAGAGGGUGCAAGCGUUAAUCGGAAUUACUGGGCGUAAAGCGUGCGUAGACGGUUGGAUAAGUCGGAUGUGAAAGCCCCGGGCUCAACCUGGGAAUUGCAUUCGAGACUGUUCAGCUAGGGUGCGGAAGAGGGAAGCGGAAUUUCCGGUGUAGCGGUGAAAUGCGUAGAUAUCGGAAGGAACACCAGUGGCGAAAGCGGCUUCCUGGUCCAGCACCGACGUUCAGGUACGAAAGCAUGGGGAGCAAACAGGAUUAGAUACCCUGGUAGUCCAUGCCAUAAACGAUGAGGACUAGACGUUGAGAGGGUAAGCCUCGCAGUGUCGUAGCUAACGCGCUAAGUCCUCCGCCUGGGGAGUACGGCCGCAAGGUUGAAAC